GAGCCUGCUGAUGCAGAGAAUGAAUUCAGAAUGGAACUUAUCGAUUUCUGCGAUGAUCUUUAUAAAAGAAGUAAUGCAGACUCUGCCUUUUCUAAAGAAGAAUUACGGAACUAUAAUAAAGAAGGCCUCAAGGAUUUUAUACCACUGAAAGGCAGAACGAAUGAAAUCUCACCUCAUCUGAUUGCGAAAGUUUUCUUUAAUAAGGUGACAUUUGAUCAAAAAUAAAAGAAAAUAUGGGAGGAAUUCAGCUACGAAGACUUCUGUGGAAGAGAUGCCUAGGAAAUUGGUUCAUUGGAUUAUGGAAGCUGACUAUUUCCAACAUCUGCAGGAUGAGUUGGCAAGCUGGAAACCAGGAAAGGUUUUCAGACAACAUUGAUCACCAGUGGACGCUACUCUAAUUCCUAACUUUUCCAAAUACCAUCAAAACAAAGUUGUGAACCAACACUUACUGAAGAUUUGAGGAAAAUGAUGAAAACUAGUAGUACUGUACUGUAUAAGCAGCAACUAAAAGCUGAAUAUUAGCCAUUAUUCGACUACAUUUUGUUGACUAUUUGUCAUCUUAGAAUAUUUCCUAUGGACUCCUUCCUCUAUGGACCAGAUUUAAUGUAACUGUUUAUGUUGCCUGCUCUGUCCCUCCACCUCCUUUUUCCAGUUGCCCAGAGAUGUCAAACUUUUCUUGUAUAACUAUGGAAAAUGGCUAUCUUAUAUUGUUUUACUUACUCUCAUCUAGCUUAAGCCCUUUAGUAUCUUCUAAAUUCACUGACAAACAGACCUUGUCUUAUUAAUUAAAAAAAUCACUUACUCCAUAGCCUAAUUAUGCAACUUUCCUAGAUAAUACGUGUCAUAUUUUUCGUAAAAUUAUAUUUCCC
RNAcentral lists this long non-coding RNA (869 nucleotides) under Equus caballus (horse). RNAcentral's name for it is "lncRNA (ENSECAG00000043993.1)". The record is from RNAcentral. Lineage: Eukaryota; Metazoa; Chordata; Mammalia; Perissodactyla; Equidae.